RNAcentral lists this signal recognition particle RNA (298 nucleotides) under Otolemur garnettii (small-eared galago). RNAcentral's name for it is "Metazoan signal recognition particle RNA". It matches the Rfam family "Metazoan signal recognition particle RNA". From Rfam's summary of the family: The signal recognition particle (SRP) is a universally conserved ribonucleoprotein. Lineage: Eukaryota; Metazoa; Chordata; Mammalia; Primates; Galagidae. The record is from Rfam by way of RNAcentral.
GCCAGGCGUUAUGGCGGGUGCCUGUAGUCCCAGCGACUUGGGAGGCUGAGGCAGGAGACUCGCUUGAGCCCAGGAGUUGGAGGUUGCUGUGAGCAUGAUGCCAUGGCACUCUACCCAGGGGGGAUAGCUUGAGGCUCCGUCUCAAAAAAAAAAAAAAAGAAAAAAUGUAUGAGUUGGUGUUUUUUUUUUUUUUUUUUUUUGAGACAGAGCCUCAAGCUGUCCCCCUGGGCAGAGUGCCGUGGCAUUACAGCUCACAGCAACCUCCAACUCCUGGGCUCAAGCGAGUCUCCUGCCUCUG